CCUACGGGGGGCAGCAGUCGAGAAUCAUUCACAAUGGGGGAAACCCUGAUGGUGCGACGCCGCGUGGGGGAAUGAAGGUCUUCGGUUUGUAAACUCCUUUCAUGUGGGAGCAAAUUAAAAAGAUAGCACCACAAGAGGAAGAGACGGCUAACUCUGUGCCAGCAGCCGCGGUAAUACAGAGGUCUCAAGCGUUGUUCGGAAUCACUGGGCGUAAAGCGUGCGUAGGCUGUUUCGUAAGUCGUGUGUGAAAGGCGCGGGCUCAACCCGCGGACGGCACAUGAUACUGCGAGACUAGAGUAAUGGAGGGGGAGACGGAAUUCUCGGUGUAGCAGUGAAAUGCGUAGAUAUCGAGAGGAACACUCGUGGCGAAGGCGGGUUCCUGGACAUUAACUGACGCUGAGGCACGAAGGCCAGGGGAGCGAAAGGGAUUAGAUACCCUUGUAGUC
This 446-nucleotide ribosomal RNA is filed under the name uncultured bacterium. Its description in RNAcentral is "partial 16S ribosomal RNA". It matches the Rfam family "Bacterial small subunit ribosomal RNA", at positions 338 to 795 of the family's 1533-position model. The record is from RNAcentral.